RNAcentral lists this unclassified non-coding RNA (248 nucleotides) under uncultured Ascomycota. RNAcentral's name for it is "sequence contains ITS2". Lineage: Eukaryota; Fungi; Ascomycota. The record is from RNAcentral.
AACGCACAUUGCGCCCUUUGGCAUUCCGAGGGGCAUGCCUGUUCGAGCGUCAUUAACAACCAUCAAGCCUGGCUUGCCGUUGAGCCCCGCCCGUGACAGGGCGGGCUCGAAAGACAGCGGCGGCGUCGGUCGGACCCUAGAUGCAACGAGCUCUGAGUAGCACGCAUCGACCUGGCCGGCCGCGCCCGUCCCACCCCUUUUUAUCUCAGGUUGACCUCGGAUCAGGUAGGAAUACCCGCUGAACUUAA